RNAcentral lists this long non-coding RNA (628 nucleotides) under Sorghum bicolor (sorghum). RNAcentral describes it as "long non-coding RNA (SBIC_LNC014640)". Lineage: Eukaryota; Viridiplantae; Streptophyta; Magnoliopsida; Poales; Poaceae. The record is from RNAcentral.
CGUGGGGGAGUCGAGGCGGCGUUGGGAGGCGGGGGGAGUCGAGGCUGCCGGGGCGUCGGGGUGGUCACCCGAGGCGGCGGCGGCGGCCUUGCGGCCGGUGCAGAGGGCGAGGGUGAGAGGGAGGUGGAGGGGCAGGGGCCGGUGGGCCGCCUGCCCAGCUAGGCCGGCCCACCAGCGGCCAUUGUUUUAUUUUUUUUAUUUUUUAUUUUUGUUAUUUGAUGUAUAUGAUGUAUAAUUGUCCUAAAUAAUUAUUAAUUGUUCUAAAUAAAUAUAUAUGAUGUAUUAUUAAUUAUUAAUUGUUCUAAAUAAUUAUUAAUUGUCCUAAAUAAUUAUUAAUUAUUAAUUGUCCUAAAUAAAUGUAUAUGAUGUUUUAUUUUUCUUAUAUACAUUUUGCAUAUCCUAAAUAAUUAUUUACAAUGCAAUUGUAUAUAUAUAUAUAUGUAUGUCAAUGCUAAGUAAUUAGUAUUUCUUUCUUUAUAAUGCAACUAUUUAUAAUGCAGUUAUUUACAAUGCAAUUAUGUAUGUAUGUAUGUAUGUAUGUAUGUAUGUAUGUAUGUAUGUAUGUAUGUAUGUAUGUAUGUAUGUAUGUAUGUAUGUAUGUAUGUAUGUAUGUAUGUAUGUAUGUAUG